GAUGAACGCUGGCGGCGUGCCUAAUACAUGCAAGUCGAGCGAACGGACGAGAAGCUUGCUUCUCUCAUGUUAGCGGCGGACGGGUGAGUAACACGUGGAUAACCUACCUAUAAGACUGGGAUAACUUCGGGAAACCGGAGCUAAUACCGGAUAAUAUUUUGAACCGCAUGGUUCAAAAGUGAAAGACGGUCGUGCUGUCACUUAUAGAUGGAUCCGCGCUGCAUUAGCUAGUUGGUAAGGUAACGGCUUACCAAGGCAACGAUGCGUAGCCGACCUGAGAGGGUGGUCGGCCACACUGGAACUGGGACACGGACCAGACUCCUAAGGGAGGCAGCAGUAGGGAAUCGUCCGCAAUGGGCGAGAGCCUGACGGAGCGACGCCGCGUGUGUGAUGAAGGUGUUCCGAUCGUAAAGCUCUGUUAUUAGGGAAGAACAUAUGUGUAAGUAACUGUGCACAUCUUGACGGUACCUAAUCAGAAAGCCACGGCUAACUACGUG
This 497-nucleotide ribosomal RNA is filed under the name uncultured bacterium. Its description in RNAcentral is "partial 16S ribosomal RNA". It matches the Rfam family "Bacterial small subunit ribosomal RNA", at positions 28 to 507 of the family's 1533-position model. The record is from RNAcentral.